GGAGGCGUGGCAGAGUGGACGAAUGCACCGGUCUUGAAAACCGGAGUACCCCAUAAAGGUACCGGAGGUUCGAAUCCUCCCGCCUCCG
RNAcentral lists this transfer RNA (88 nucleotides) under Candidatus Spechtbacteria bacterium SB0662_bin_43. RNAcentral's name for it is "tRNA-Ser". It matches the Rfam family "tRNA". From Rfam's summary of the family: Transfer RNA (tRNA) molecules are approximately 80 nucleotides in length. Their secondary structure includes four short double-helical elements and three loops (D, anti-codon, and T loops). Further hydrogen bonds mediate the characteristic L-shaped molecular structure. tRNAs have two regions of fundamental functional importance: the anti-codon, which is responsible for specific mRNA codon recognition, and the 3' end, to which the tRNAs corresponding amino acid is attached (by aminoacyl-tRNA synthetases). tRNAs cope with the degeneracy of the genetic code in two manners: having more than one tRNA (with a specific anti-codon) for a particular amino acid; and 'wobble' base-pairing, i.e. permitting non-standard base-pairing at the 3rd anti-codon position. The record is from RNAcentral. Lineage: Bacteria; Candidatus Spechtiibacteriota.